GGCUUUGUGCGACUCUAGCAGGUAGUGGAUUGAUAGUAAGGACACCAUCAAGUAGGAAAUCCUCCAUUUCUUCAGGACCCGAUGGAUAGCCAGGCUGGGGAUCUCUAGGUCCUUCUCUAGCCUGCUUCUAGUCACUCAAGUUUCUGUGGUAGAGAAUGAUGAGUUGACCAGAGAGGUGUCUAGCAAGAAGAUUUGGAGGGCUUUCCAAUUCAUGGCAGGAGAUAGCACUGAGAUCGGAC
RNAcentral lists this long non-coding RNA (239 nucleotides) under Elaeis guineensis (African oil palm). Its description in RNAcentral is "long non-coding RNA (EGUI_LNC005367)". The record is from RNAcentral. Lineage: Eukaryota; Viridiplantae; Streptophyta; Magnoliopsida; Arecales; Arecaceae.